This is a long non-coding RNA of Mobula hypostoma (lesser devil ray), 4523 nucleotides long. RefSeq lists it as uncharacterized. NCBI's taxonomy places the organism in Eukaryota, Metazoa, Chordata, Chondrichthyes, Myliobatiformes, Myliobatidae. The record is from RefSeq and is a predicted model, not a curated record. The transcript is spliced from 3 exons.
AUCAAAAGUUAUGGGGAUAGGGCAGGAACUGGAUACUGGUAGUGGAUGAUCAGCCAUGAUCACAGUGAAUGGCGGCGCUGGCUCGAAGGGCCGAAUGGCCUACUCCUGCACCUAUUGUCUAUUAUCUAUUGUCUUUGUACUAGGGGAGGAAACUGGAGCACCCAGAGGAAAUCUACGUGGACACAGGGAGAAUGUACAGAUUCCUUACAGGCAGCAGUGGAAAUUGAAUCCGCAUUGCUGGUGCUGUAAAUAGUUGUGCUAACCACUAAGCAAUUGUGCUAUUCCCCUUAUCUUGAGAAUGCUCUAUCAAAAGGAAAUAUGCUCUAUUUGCUCUUUUCAUUAAUUGGUGCUGCAAUUUAAUACUACUUUAGAAGCAGAUCCAACAGAUCUAUGAUGUCUUACGAUGUAUCACCCUCCAUAUGAGGUUAUCACGACAAAAUAAUUUACAGAAUCAACUAUGUUGGUAAUUGUUGGUGACCAUGGUGUUUACAUUGUAAUAGUGUUGCAGGGUGAAGAUGUGUCUCUACCAAAGGAGGUGUAAGGUGCACCUUCCCUCUGCUAGUAUGAGGGUCACCCUUGGGCAAGGUGUAGCACCCGCUUAGCUCUAUCCUCAUCACCCCCAUGAUCAGGGUCAUGUGAAGCAAUGCAACCACUGACUCCAGGCAGAAAAUCUCUGAAGAGUAGUGAUAAUAGCUGGGGUCACCCAUCUUGUAAAGACAUUGCCCAGAAAAAGGCAAUGGCAAACCACUUCAGGAAAGAAAAUUGCCAGAAACAAUCAGUUUCACAACCUGCUUAAAUUACACAUAAUCUCUUCAAAUAUCUCAAGCAAUUUCUGGAUUCUCAAUUUUUCCACUUACCGAGUACAUACUGCUAUAAUUAAACAGUUGUGUGCUAUACAUUGAUUUCAGUGUACAUGACAGAUUCAUCAGUCUUUGUAAAGGCUGUUGACAGAUAUUUACAGAUAAUAUAUUUUAAUUAUUUCACAUAGGAAUCUAUUCUAUAUUGCAGUAUACUAACAAGGAAAGAUGCUUUAACAGUACAGUCUGUUUAAAUAUUGUGAAGAAAAUCAUAAAAAUUGAACAAAGGUGACUUUUUAUAUGAAUUUUCUUUAAAAAAAAAUGGCCAUGGGGCCUGACCUGAAAAGUACACUCAGUGGCCACUUUAUUGGGUACACCAGCUUGUUAAUGCAAAUAUCUAAUCAGCCAAUCAUGUGGCGGCAACUCAAUGCAUAAAGGCAUGCAGACAUGAUCAAGAGGUUCAGUUGUUCAGACCAAACAUCAGAAUGAGGAAGAAAUGUGAUCUAAGUGACUUUGACAGUGGAAUAAAUGUUGGUGCCUGACAGGGUGGUUUGAGUGUCGCAGAAACUGCCGGUCUCUUGGAAUUUUCACACACAACAGUCUCUAGAUUUUACAGAGAUUGGUGCAAAAAACAGAAAAUAUCCAGUGAAUGGCAGUUCUGUAGGUGAACGAGUAGUCUUUGGAGUACUGCAAGUCUAUAUCUUUGCUGUUGCUUUGUUGCAUGCUUGAGUGCUCGGUGGUGGUGCCAAUGCUUUUUUUUUGCUGGUGGGGGAGGGGGAAUCGUUGCUUGCUGCCGCGUACGCAUGGGAGAGAGGGGAGCCGGGGGGGGACUUUGGGGUUCUAACAUUUAACUGUCAUUCAUACUUUGGGGGCACUCCUGUGUUUUUACGUGGAUGGUUGCAAAGAAAAAGCAUUUCAGUGUGUAUAGUACACAUUUCUCUGACAUUAAAUGUACCUUUGAAACUUAUGAAAAUAACCUAUUAAUAAGAAAGGUCAGAAGAGAAUGAUCAGACUGCUUCAAGCUGACAGGAAGGUGACCAUAACUCAAAUGAAUGUGUGCAGAAGAGCAUCUCUGAACACAAAAUAUGCCAAAUGUCUACAGCAGCAUAAGACCAUAAACCUGCAAUCAGCUGCCACUUUAGGUACAGGAGGUAUCUAAUAAAGUGGACACUGAGUAGUAUAUAUUUUCCUUCAUUGCUGGGUUUAAAUCUUAGAACUCCUCACCCAAUAUCACUGUUGGAGUACAUUCACAAGAAGGAUUGCAGUAGUCAAGAAGGCAAUCUGUCAUCACUUUCUCAAGGACUUCUGUGGAUGCUUUAUAAACGCAGGCCCUGCAUUUGUAUUGCACGCACUGUAUAAAUUCAUGAAGUUGAAAGGUGGCCUCUGGAAGAAGUGAGAUGAGGUGAAUAUAGUUCAGGUGCGCUCAGUAUUGGCGAGGGGGGGGGGGUUGGUGAGUGUAAUGGAAUGUAUUAGGAGUAUGGAGCCUGUUGCUGCUUUAGAUGUUCAGCUGUUUAGGGUUGAAACCAAAGGAGUGUCUGCUAAUACCUCAAAAGCCUUCAGAAUGGGAAAUUUUGUGAGGGUAAGAUGUGAAUAGUAAGGUUUUGGUGAGGUUGGGCAUGCACAAGUAGUCAGGCACAAAAUUGGAGACACUGAGGUGGAUCCAUACUGAGAUUUUUAGAAGCAUAUCAAAGAUAAGCUAUAAUGUAAUUUACUGAAUGCUUAGUUUUUGUAUUAGGCACUAAAUUGAAACACAAUUAUAAUUCUUCAAUUUGCAUAAUUGUACUUAUUAAAUCUCACUCUUUUCUCCCCCUCAAACUGUCUGACUUCACUGGCAUUAUGAAAAUUGUUGAUUUUGUCUGUCUCAGCUCAUUGGUAAUUAUCUUGAAUCCAAGAUAAAGGUGUUGGUUUAAAGUACAUCUCAAGGCUUUCUGCAUUUAAUUUUGGUUGGUAUUUCAACGAACUGCUCAGGGAAUGCUCCAACAACAAGGCAUUCUCCAUUGGACAAUCUCAAUAAAAAACAUGCACUGGAGGCACGAAGCAGUACUUUAAGAUAAAGUUGAAGAAAAGUUGGAUUCAGGCAAAUUGAGAGUUUUAAAACACUUUCCCGCUGGUCAAAAGCUGUUAAUAGUGUUCAAUGGACAGACCUUCAGCGAUAUGCAGAUUGAGGACUCCUUGUACUCCGCCUCAGCAUGCUUGGGAUUGAGAGCUCCAUCACCUGAACCAGGGUUCUUUUGAAGACCCUGACAUGGAGUUACACAUUGACUUCAGUUCUUUGCAGAAAUGGGACCCGCUCUCAGGGUUUCACGACUGGCCAUUAUUCGACAUGCCAAGGACGUGGCCUAAGAGCUUCGCUCAUCUUCGAAGGUCAGAGAUUUCGUGGCUCUGGAGACAGGGGGAAUUGGAGGUUAGUGUCUGGGCAAGAGAUUGGUGUGUUGUGGGAGAUGGAAGAUCUGAGGCUGUGUGCCUGGAGACCUGAGAUCCUUGGGCACAGAGCUCGGAAAAAGCGACGAAACGGACUUUUAACAUCAUAAAUCAGCGAGUUGUUUGUUAUGCCUCCCCUCUUGCUGUGAAAAGGAGACACCCCUUUCUCCCUUAUUAGGGAGAGAGAGAGCCUGUGGUGUGUCAAAUACCGAGUGAAUGAGCAGUCUUUGGAGUACUGCAAGUCUGUGUCUUUGCUGUUGCUCUGUUCACACUUGAGUGUUCGGUGGCGGUGCCAGUGAGGGCAGAGAGGAUCGUUGCUUGCUGCCACUUAUGGGCGGGAGGGAGGGGAGCUGGGGGGGGCGGACUUUGGGGUUCUAACAUUUAACUAUCAUUCAUUCUUUGGAGGCACCUCCUCUGCUUUUCGUGGAUGGUUGCAAAGAAAAAGCAUUUCAGGAUGUAUAUUGUAUACACUUCUCUGACUUUACAUGUACCUUUGAAACCUUUGAAAAGCAUCAUCAAUUAUUAAGAACCCCCAUCACCCAGGGCUUGACCUGUUCUCAUUGCCACCAUCAAGGAGGAGGUACAGGAGCCUGAAGGCACACACUCAAUGAUUCAGGAACAGCUUCUUCCCCUCUGCCAUCCAAAUUCUGAAUGGACAUUGAUGAACACUACCUCACUACUUUUUUGUCUCUACUUUUGCACUACUUACUUAACUACUUAAUAUAUAUAUUUACUGUAAUUCACAUGACUUUUUUUCUAUUGCAUUGUACUGCUGCAGCAAAGACAAGUAAUUUCACGACAUAUGCUGAUGAAUUAAACCUGAUUCUUAGAGUGAAGUCCUGAUGCAGGGUUUUGAUCCCAAAACAUCAACCAUCCCUUUGCCUCCACAGAUGCUGGUCCUUAUACUUGGCUCUUUCAUGGGUGUAAAAUAAUUGCUAAAGGAUUCAUCUUUGACCACAGUGCCAAAAUAUCUUCUUACAUUAUGUUUAUGUUUGAAAUGCACAAUAUUAACCAUCUAUUAUUUGUAGGUUUGUCUUUGGUUUAUAUUUUGUUUUCUGUAGCUUUCCCAGAAGCAACUACCAUCUUCUGGAAAUGUACAAGUCACAUACAGUACAUCAUAGCUAGCUGAAUUCAAUAUAAAAAUAAAUUGCAAUCUUAAUUACAAUUUGCAACAAUCUUUGAUGAGUGGUGAUUCACAAUGAAUGACUAAUCAUACUUCUAGUUCAUUUAAUACACCAAUUUAGAAAACUAGCAAAAUAAAAAAAGUCUCAAGAGUUUGGGAAAGCCAAAAAUAUAACACAUCUA